RNAcentral lists this long non-coding RNA (622 nucleotides) under Salmo salar (Atlantic salmon). RNAcentral describes it as "lncRNA (ENSSSAG00000082931.1)". Lineage: Eukaryota; Metazoa; Chordata; Actinopteri; Salmoniformes; Salmonidae. The record is from RNAcentral.
AUUUUGGAGGUGGUGGAACUGGUUAUUUUGGAGGUGGUGGAACUGGUUAUUUUGGAGGUGUUGGAACUGAUAAUUUUGGAGGUGGUGGACCUGGCUUUUUUGGAGGUGGUGGAACUGGUUAUUUUGGAGGUGGUAUAACUGGUUAUUUUCGAGAUGGUGGAGCUGGUUAUUUUGGAAGUAGUGGAACUGGUUAUUUUGGAGGUGGUGGAACUGGUUAUUUUGGAGGUGGUGGAACUGGUUAUUUUGGCGGUGGUGGAACUUUUUAUUUUGGAGGUGGUUGAACUGGUUAUUUUGGAGGUGAUGGAACUGGUUGUUUUGGCACUGGUUAUUUUGGCGGUGGUGGAAUUGGUUAUUUUGGAGGUGGUGUAACUGUUUUUUUUGGCGGUGGUGGAACUGGUUAUUUUGGAUUUGGUGGAACUGGUUAUUUUGAAGGUGGUGGGACUGGUUAUUUUGGAGGUGGUGGAGCUGGUUAUUUUGGCGGUGGUGGAACUGGUUAUUUUGGUGGUGGUGGAACUGGUUAUUUUGAAGGUGGUGGAACUGGUUAUUUUGGAGGUGGUGGAACUGGUUAUUUUGGAGGUGGUGGAACUGGUUAUUUUGGAGGUGGUGUAACUGGUUAUUUUGG